CUUGCCUGCACCUGCCGGCGACCGGCGCACGGGUGAGUAACACGUAUGGAACCUGCCCGCCACAGGGGGAUAACCCGGGGAAACCCGGCCUAAUACCCCAUGCCGCCCGGACCGGGCAUCCGGUCCGGGCGAAAGGAGGAAUCCGGUGGCGGCUGGGCAUGCGGCGCAUUAGCUUGACGGCGGGGUAACGGCCCACCGUGGCGACGAUGCGUAGGGGUUCUGAGAGGAAGGUCCCCCACAUUGGAACUGAGACACGGUCCAAACUCCUACGGGAGGCAGCAG
RNAcentral lists this ribosomal RNA (282 nucleotides) under uncultured bacterium. Its description in RNAcentral is "partial 16S ribosomal RNA". It matches the Rfam family "Bacterial small subunit ribosomal RNA", at positions 69 to 354 of the family's 1533-position model. The record is from RNAcentral.